UACGUAGGGUGCGAGCGUUGUCCGGAAUUAUUGGGCGUAAAGAGCUUGUAGGCGGUCUGUCGCGUCUGCUGUGAAAAUCCGGGGCUCAACCCCGGACUUGCAGUGGGUACGGGCAGACUAGAGUGUGGUAGGGGAGACUGGAAUUCCUGGUGUAGCGGUGAAAUGCGCAGAUAUCAGGAGGAACACCGAUGGCGAAGGCAAUCCCCUGGGCCUGCACUGACGCUGAGGCGCGAAAGCUAGGGGAGCGAACAGG
Molecule: ribosomal RNA, 253 nt
Filed under: uncultured bacterium
Lineage: Bacteria
Description: partial 16S ribosomal RNA
Rfam family: Bacterial small subunit ribosomal RNA
Source: RNAcentral